CCUACGGGUGGCUGCAGUGGGGGAUAUUGCACAAUGGGGGAAACCCUGAUGCAGCGACGCCGCGUGCGGGAAGAAGUAUUUCGGUAUGUAAAGCUCUAUCAGCAGGGAAGAAAAUGACAGUACCUGACCAAGAAGCCCCGGCUAACUAGGUGCAAGUCGCCGCGGUAAUACGUCGGGGGCAAGCGUUAUCCGGAUUUAUGGGGUGUAAAGGGAGCGUAGACGGGUAUGUAAGUCUGGAGUGAAAGCCCGGGGCCCAACCCCGGGACUGCAUUGGAAACUGUGUAACUGGAGUACAGGAGGGGCAGGCGGAAUGCGUGGUGUAGCGGUGAAAUGCGUAGAUAUCAGGAGGAACACCGGCGGCGAAGGCGGCCUGCUGGACUGAAACUGACGUUGAGGCUCGAAAGCGUGGGGAGCAAACAGGAUUAGAUACCCCAGUAGUC
This 440-nucleotide ribosomal RNA is filed under the name uncultured bacterium. RNAcentral describes it as "partial 16S ribosomal RNA". It matches the Rfam family "Bacterial small subunit ribosomal RNA", at positions 338 to 795 of the family's 1533-position model. The record is from RNAcentral.